GGGGACUGAACAUCGUUCACCGAAUACACUUUGUGAUGUUUUAGGUGAUGAAGUACCUGCUGCCAGAGUUUCCCCUGAAACACACAAAGAAGAGUCUUUUACUUGUGAUUCAGUUGUUUCAGGAGUUCUUGACUGUCCAAUGUGCAAGGAUUCACGGUGGCUGUGAUGGCUGGAGAUUUCAUUUGCCUAAAGAUUAUGAUGAGAGAGAAGUAUCAAACAUAAUUUUUAUCAAAAGAUAAUUUUUUUAAGGUUUCAAAAAUCACAAAAAUGAUUUUUACAACAUAACAAAAAUCUACAAUACUUACAGAGAAGCACUAUUGGUUAGAUAAUCCAAAACCUCCUGUAGUUUAGCUGAUGGAGAAAACUGAAUAUUUUGAGGAAGCUGGCUACAAGCUGGGCAGUUUUCCUACACACAUAAUACACAACAAAUUACAGCAGCACAUGCACCAAUAUUAGUCUCUUUUAUGAACAAUAAAAUAAAAAUCAGGUUGUUUUAUAAUCAUGCAUAUUUCCUAUAAAAAAAAUUUUUAUGCUUUAAAGCCUGCUUUUCAUAAUAGACCAUUUCUUUUAAAUUACUUUGCUUUAGAGUUAUUUCAGGCUAUAAAGCAAAAGAUAUAUAAUAAGUAGAGUUCUGGAAGUUAGAAAAUGUAUGGGUGACUUUGUUCAAAUUUCUAACCAAUAAUAUUUAAAAAUCAAAAUAUGCAUGAUCAAAAAUGUGUUCUUAAUACUACUAACCUUUCUUUCUG
Molecule: non-coding RNA, 746 nt
Filed under: Pan troglodytes (chimpanzee)
Lineage: Eukaryota; Metazoa; Chordata; Mammalia; Primates; Hominidae
Source: RNAcentral